CCGGGUCUAUACAAAUUUUUUCUAAAGAUAAAAAAUCAAAGACGGAGAAAGGGGAGGGUCGGAAAGGACACAUAAAUACUAUCCCGUGUGAGGGGACAAUGUGAAACGGCCCGCGCGGUAGCUGUUACAGGCUAUAAAAUCGCACAAACCUCUACGCCCCUUCUUCCCUCUCAUUCAUUUCCAAUCUUAACCUAGAAAGCCCCAAACCUCUCUCUCUCUCUC
This 222-nucleotide long non-coding RNA is filed under the name Amborella trichopoda. RNAcentral's name for it is "long non-coding RNA (ATRI_LNC003940)". The record is from RNAcentral. Lineage: Eukaryota; Viridiplantae; Streptophyta; Magnoliopsida; Amborellales; Amborellaceae.